CCUACGGGAGGCAGCAGUGGGGAAUAUUGCGCAAUGGGCGAAAGCCUGACGCAGCGACGCCGCGUGAGGGAUGAAGGUCUUCGGAUCGUAAACCUCCGUCAGCAGGGAAGAACGGUCACUGUGCUAAUCAGCAGUGAAUUGACGGUACCUGCAAAGGAAGCACCGGCUAACUCCGUGCCAGCAGCCGCGGUAAUACGGAGGGUGCGUGCGUUAAUCGGAAUUACUGGGCGGAAAGCGCUCGUAGGCGGUAUGUCAAGUCAAGGGUGAAAUCCCCGCGCUCAACGUGGGAACUGCCUUUGAAACUGGCAAACUGGAGUGUGUGAGAGGAUAGUGGAAUGCCAGGUGUAGGAGUGAAAUGCGUAGAUAUCUGGAGGAACAUCAGUGGCGAAGGCGACUAUCUGGCACAUAACUGACGCUGAGGAGCGAAAGCGUGGGUAGCAAACAGGAUUAGAUACCCCGGUAGUC
Molecule: ribosomal RNA, 465 nt
Filed under: uncultured bacterium
Lineage: Bacteria
Description: partial 16S ribosomal RNA
Rfam family: Bacterial small subunit ribosomal RNA
Source: RNAcentral